ACACCAAACCUGCCGUUGAGAUGAAAAGCUUUUUCUUUUUCCUGGGUGUAAACGUUGAAGCGGUUCCCUGCCCCAUCUAUGGAGUGAACGCGCAAGAAGAGUCAAAACAAGGCUCAAUUACUAUUUCACAAGUGCAGAAGUGACAUCUCGUUUGAGAAAAACCUUGCCCCGUUCCAAACAAGCAACGUGGGACAGAGCCAGAACACGGCCAGCACCCCCAAAGCACCACCGCGGCGACACAGGACUCCUCUGCUCUACCACCAAGGACUCCAGUGAUAGAUGGCCACAUCACUUGCUUCAGUCAGAGUCCUUGAGAAAGGAUCCAGCCAUUUAAAAAGACUUUUCCUUGACAUCUGAUAUCUCUCCGGUGGAAAAAAAAAAGUAUACUAGUUUGCACUGAAUUCAGCAUGCUCCAAGUUCAUUUAUAUGUAAUCCGUAAUACUCUUUGUAGCUUAAAUCAAGUAUCUUGAAUGCAAGUUAUAGCCCAUUCAGUAUUAAAAAUAAUAAACUAGCUGCAUGUGUAUUAGCUGCCAAGAAAAUGGAGCUAGAAGUUUGUAUACUUACAAUUCUCUCAGAAAUCAGACUCAUUAAUAUAGCUGUUACAAAAGGACACACUUUCACAGAAACAGGGAUUACCUUUAUCUGUUACCAUGGCAACUUUUCAGUAGUUUGUGUUAAUGCUACUCUCCUUCUGAUAACUUGCCACUAUCUCUUUCAAGCUAUUUGUAUAAGGUUUUGAAUGUGCCAUCUGAGACCAUAAAGUAACAAGAAGUUGAAA
Molecule: long non-coding RNA, 778 nt
Organism: Calidris pugnax (ruff)
Lineage: Eukaryota; Metazoa; Chordata; Aves; Charadriiformes; Scolopacidae
Exons: 2
Source: RefSeq, a predicted model, not a curated record